This 75-nucleotide transfer RNA is filed under the name Hyaloperonospora arabidopsidis Emoy2. Its description in RNAcentral is "Hyaloperonospora arabidopsidis tRNA-Val for anticodon UAC". The stretch from base 11 to 67 matches the Rfam family "tRNA", at positions 9 to 63 of the family's 71-position model. Rfam says of the family: Transfer RNA (tRNA) molecules are approximately 80 nucleotides in length. Lineage: Eukaryota; Oomycota; Peronosporomycetes; Peronosporales; Peronosporaceae. The record is from RNAcentral.
GUACCUAUACAGCUCAAUUGGUAGAGUAUUUCGCUUACACCGAAAAUGUUAGCGGUUCAAGUCCGUUAUUAUUCA